GGUUUUCACCCAAGAUUUGACGGUACAUGGCCCCGUCCAUCGUCCCUUUGAUGCGGUGAAGUUGUCCUGUCCCCUUAGCAGAAAAACACCCCCAAAGCAUAAUGUUUCCACCUCCAUGUUUGACGGUGGGGAUGGUGUUCUUGGGGUCAUAGGCAGCAUUCCUCCUCCUCCAAACACAGGAGUUGAGUUGAUGCCAAAGAGCUCCAUUUUGGUCUCAUCUGACCACAACACUUUCACCCAGUUGUCCUCUGAAUCAUUGACAAACUUCAGACGGGCAUGUAUAUGUGCUUUCUUGAGCAGAGGGAUCUUGCGGGCGCUGCAGGAUUUCAGUCCUUUACGGCGUACUGUGUUACCAACUGUUUUCUUGGUGUCUAUGGUCCCAGUUGCCUUGAGAUAAUUGACAAGAUUCUCCCGUGUAUUUCUGGGCGGAUUCCUCACCGUUCUCAUGAUCAUUGCAACUCCACGAGCAAUUGGAGAGUACAGCCAUGUCUUUAGCUGCAUGCAGUGAGGCAUGGGGCGUCUGCGAGAAUGCCGGCAAUUCACGGAGCAAGACCAGAGGUCGAGCCAUGCUGCCCACGUCUAGAGAGGUGGAGGUGAAUGUGAGUGUGCGCCACAUGUACCUGUACAGCCGCGAGGUGCGUGGGGUGGUGGCACGUCUCCGCGCCGAGUGUGGGUCACUGUCCGUGCACGCAGUUGCCUUGGCCCACACUCAAGGUGAUCUGAACAAGGCCUUGGGACACGUUCGUAAUGAGAAACAGGCAAAUGUGCAAGCAUCUAGCAUGCGAUCGCGACGACCUACACGUGAGGUGGUAAGUCUUGAAUAAUAAUAAUUUAGUUGACAGUAAUACCCCGGUUUAUGUCAGGGAUGCUUUUCUUAAAUGUGCGACAACGAAUACCGAAACGACGUAAAUCAACGCAAUUUUGCCACGAGGACUAAACAAUGCUGAAGCCGUGUUAAUGCGUGCAUCUUCAUCCUAGACGUAUCCGCAACAUUACAUUCAAUUACUAAAAAUACUACACUCAAUACUAGUUUCGGCAGUAAACGUUAAAACAUUAUUAGCAGUACAUUAUGAAAAUAAAAUCACUAAAAUAUCAUGCGUAAUUACUAUAUUGUACUCCAUAGUACAGAACAUUUCUUUAUGCGCGAUGCAAAGUAGUUUGUGUACAGGGUUAGGUGGAGGUGAAGGUUGAGAGGCGACAGUUACGAGAAAGGGCAGACGAUGCUGUCAGGACAUGAGUGUGGGUUGAGGCAAUGCUAGUCGGGUAGCGGUGGUGUUGAUAAUGAAGUGACAACGUAUUUUCUAAACGAUAUAAAAGGGGGAGGUGUAAAAUCGCAAGGCUUACAGC
This is a long non-coding RNA of Lethenteron reissneri (Far Eastern brook lamprey), 1347 nucleotides long. RefSeq lists it as uncharacterized. NCBI's taxonomy places the organism in Eukaryota, Metazoa, Chordata, Hyperoartia, Petromyzontiformes, Petromyzontidae. The record is from RefSeq and is a predicted model, not a curated record.